AUUGAACGCUGGCGGCAUGCCUUACACAUGCAAGUCGAACGGCAGCGCGGGGCAACCUGGCGGCGAGUGGCGAACGGGUGAGUAAUAUAUCGGAACAUACCCUAGAGUGGGGGAUAACGUAGCGAAAGUUACGCUAAUACCGCAUACGCACUAAGGUGGAAAGUGGGGGAUCUUCGGACCUCAUGCUCAUGGAGUGGCCGAUAUCUGAUUAGCUAGUUGGUGAGGUAAAGGCUCACCAAGGCGACGAUCAGUAGCUGGUUUGAGAGAACGACCAGCCACACUGGAACUGAGACACGGUCCAGACUCCUACGGGAGGCAGCAGUGGGGAAUUUUGGACAAUGGGGGCGACCCUGAUCCAGCAAUGCCGCGUGAGUGAAGAAGGCCUUCGGGUUGUAAAG
Molecule: ribosomal RNA, 398 nt
Filed under: uncultured bacterium
Lineage: Bacteria
Description: bacterial SSU rRNA
Rfam family: Bacterial small subunit ribosomal RNA
Source: RNAcentral